UGGCAAUUAUGGCGCAAGUGAAACACGAGAUCCCAUCCCGAACUCUAAAGUGAAACCUUGCUGCGCCGAUUGUACUACGCGGAUUAGCGUGGGAGAGUAGGGCGUUGCCAAGCU
Molecule: ribosomal RNA, 114 nt
Filed under: Candidatus Phycorickettsia trachydisci
Lineage: Bacteria; Pseudomonadati; Pseudomonadota; Alphaproteobacteria; Rickettsiales; Rickettsiaceae
Source: RNAcentral